Long non-coding RNA from Gadus morhua (Atlantic cod), 878 nucleotides. Lineage: Eukaryota; Metazoa; Chordata; Actinopteri; Gadiformes; Gadidae. The record is from Ensembl.
UUAUUCGACCAAUAUUCACAAACCAGGUAUCAUUGGAUUCCUUGAACCAAGCCCAGUUCAACAAACCCUAUGACGUCAUUGCGCCAUGACGUAUAUGUCCGCCAUCUUGGUUUAUGUCAAAAACCUUCAAAAUGCUACUCCUAUCACAAAUCUUGUCCAAUCAUCUUGAAACUUGGCACACAUGAUCUUCUGGCCAUCCUUGAUGAAAAACAUCGAAUAGAUUUGUCAAAUUCAAAACCGUUUGCCCGCUAAAGCCAAUCAAAUUUGGCGGCGAAGCCGCCAAACAGGAAGUGAGCCGAUUUCUCAGCAUCCCUUUGACAUAUCAUAACCAGACUUGGUAUAUAGACCCAUGGCCUCAUAAAGGUGACACUGAUUUAAUUUGGUGACCUUUGACCUGUAGGGGGCGCUGUUAUUAAUGUCCAUGUGUUUUGACCUCUUUCCCUUCACAUGAGUACAUUUACAACUUAUUUUCAAUGUCUGGUGAUACUAUCAGACCUCCCCGUAUAGCUAGUAUAUUAUAACUUGCACAAAUAUCCGCGACAGCCAAUGAUAUUCAACCGCGAAGCCGCCAAACUGGAAAAACGCCAAUAUCUCAGUAUCCCUUGGACAAAUCAUAACCAAACUUGAUACCUAGACCCAUAACAUCAUUAUGGGGACACUCAAUGAAUUUGGUGACCAUUGACCUCGAGGGGGCGCUAUAAUUAAUGAAGACGUGUUUUAACUCCUCUCUCUUCACAUGAGUACAUUUCAAACUUAUUAUCAAUGUUUAAUGAUACUGUCAGACCUCCCCAUAUAUCUUGUAAAUUAUUUUGUUGAUAUUGUUCCGAAUACCCCUAUGUAUUUGUGACAUUUGUUCUGUCAGGCAGACUGCAUUGCCC